UACAGAGGUCCCAAGCGUUGUUCGGAUUCAUUGGGCGUAAAGGGUGCGUAGGUGGCAGGGUAAGUUGGAUGUGAAAUCCCGGGGCUCAACCCCGGAACUGCAUUCAAUACUGCCCUGCUAGAGUACUGGAGAGGGGAUUGGAAUUCAUGGUGUAGCAGUGAAAUGCGUAGAUAUCAUGAGGAAGACCAGUGGCGAAGGCGGAUCUCUGGACAGUUACUGACACUGAGGCACGAAGGCCAGGGGAGCGAACGGG
Molecule: ribosomal RNA, 253 nt
Filed under: uncultured bacterium
Lineage: Bacteria
Description: partial 16S ribosomal RNA
Rfam family: Bacterial small subunit ribosomal RNA
Source: RNAcentral